AAUCUACGUAGUUGCAUUGGAGAAAGAGAGGGAGACACAAAACCACCUGUCUCGGUGUCACACAUGAGGAGUUGAGGAGGAGAUGAAGUCAGUGAAUAUGACCUGGCCUGGGGGAGUUUCCAGAAGAAGGCCCAGAAUCGCUGGAUGCCAGGAGUGGAGAUCCUUCGUUGCUGCCCUACAUGAUAGGAGGCAUCGGGCAGUAGAUGCUGUAAUUUGAAACGGAAGGUGUCCUGCCAAUAAAUUUUCAUCCCACCUGAACUGCCUUGCCUGCCUGCACCCAGUCAUCUGUUCCUGAGCAUUUUCAUUUUCCUCUAUUUUUCAUCAUCGUUUGUUUCGGCCUGUAUGAAGUGAAUUUCACAUUGAUUGGUGGAGCUGCUAAGUUGGCAUUACAGGGCCACGCCGGGGUAUGAUCCUUUGGGUUGAACAUCAUGACUGCUAGUUGGUCGGCAAAGGUGAUGGGAUCGAUCAAUGUCACAUGGAGUAAGAUCGAUACCAAUCUGCUUUGCUACAUUUCGAACAAUCUCAUACGGAUACGGAUAUUAUUGCGACAGGAGUACUGCUCGAUGUGGUCAAGCCUAUUUGACAAAGCAUUAUGGUGUUAGUCAUGUUAUCAGAAACCGAUUUUUCAAAAUCACGGAGUUGCUUCAAUUUAGUAUCGAUAGAUAUUUCAAGAACGUGUAGACUAGUGAGCUUUUCAUCAAGAAUUUCACGCAAUUUAUUUUCGUGCUUAUCCAUGUCAUCAUUGAGUUUUUGUCUCUCGCGUUCCAUUGCCACGGCCACCGCUCUUUGAACGACUGUAUCAAUAUGAUCUAGGUAUGCUGGGCUUUGUUUAGAUCCAGUUAAUGAUGAAGCAGAGGAUUGUGUACAUGCGUUAGCCGAGUGCAAGCGGCCUCUUGAUCUGGUGGAUAUCUUAGACAUGUUAGAGAUUACGUAAUGAUAUAAUUGAAAAGUGGGAUGGGCUGUGCAUCUGCCAACUCACCAGUCAACCAAUUAGAGACGGCCUUCCAAAGUGACACAGCACGAAAAUAUCAAUAUGGGACUGGUCUAGUCAACGCAUAGAUCCUGAAAAAACCAUGGAGACCGCAGAUGCAAAAUGACUUCCAUACAUAAAGAUAUGAUGCACAAUCUCCAGUGGGUUCAAAACACUGAACACAUACUAUGCUGAUACACAGACUAUCAUAAGAACUUUAUCAAGCUAAGGAAAUCUGGUAUGAAAUCUCUCAGCUCACAUAAAAAGCCUACGUAGCUACAUGUAGGGAAGAAAAUGCGUAAUUGCUGAGAAAUGAGCAAAAUAAGCAUGUAAUUCUAUCAAAUGUCAGGUAUUUUUCGAAUCGAUUAUAAUACACUGUCCCACAUAUGCUUUUCUGUGUUUAC
This is a long non-coding RNA of Lytechinus pictus (painted urchin), 1374 nucleotides long. RefSeq lists it as uncharacterized. NCBI's taxonomy places the organism in Eukaryota, Metazoa, Echinodermata, Echinoidea, Temnopleuroida, Toxopneustidae. The transcript has 3 exons. The record is from RefSeq and is a predicted model, not a curated record.